UUUUUUUGUUUUUGUUGAUCCUGUGCUUACACAUUGCUAUGUGCAGGGAGAGUUGCUUUGUCCAGUAUGUCGCAGAUUUGCGAAUUCCAUUCUUCCAGCAUCAACUGAUUUCUCUAGUAAAACAUUGAAGGGGAAACCAUUUGUUGAAACCUUGACCCGUGAAGUUGUUAUUACAACUACGUCACAUCUAAAUACAAGUCACUUACAGUUUCCUCGAGCACUAUCACUUCUUGAAAGUGCUGGAAAAACUGUUGGACAAAGCAAGUUUCUAAAAGCUUUAUCAGGGAAGCUUAAUGAUACUACAGAGUCAUCCCUAGAACCUUCUCUUCGAAGAUUAGCCAUGCUUUACUAUCAUCGUGGUCCCAGCGGUUUUUCAGCAUCUGAAAGGAAAAGGCUCAAUCCAUCCUUGUUUCUCUGGGAUACACUAAGGUACUCUGUGGUAUCUACAGAAAUUGCUUCUCGUGGUAGGAUGUUAAACCAGUCUGCUGAGUCAAAGUCCUGCUUGGAAUCUUUGCGUGGUGAACUGAAUUCAUCAAGUGGAUUCAUAUUGUCCCUAUUAUUCCGUGUUGCUCACUCUGCACGAAAUUUGAAUCGUCUUGAGGUUCUUUUAAGGUUUGAAGGUAUCCAACUAUUAGCGGGGUCUAUUUGCUCUUGCAUUUCUGGUUAUAAAGACGUUCUUAAUGCUACUAAGCGAAAAGGUAUAUAGUGCACCCUUUCCCAUUACUUUUUUUAAUGUAUUUACCUGCAUGUUAGAUGGUACUCUUUUCCUUUGUUUUGAAGUGUCCUAUUAAUCCCAGUUCUAUCACAAAUCAUGACUUUUCUAUUUCAUUCAGUUUGGAAUUUACAAUAUUUACAAUUAAUACAAUAUAUUCAAAUUCAUGGAUUCUUAUAUGUUAGUGAUUUGAUGAUUGAUAUGUUGGUUCUUAAUUGUUAGUGUUUGUAGAACGGGUUGAUUCUUUUUUUUUUUGGCAGUGCUACUAUUAUCUUGUUGUUUUCUCUGUUGUGCUGACUAUGUUGUGCUGAUUAAUUGUUAUUGUUUCUGUCUUAGAUCAGAUGUACAAUUUUUUGUGGAGUGUCACUAUUGCCUUUGCUUUAUUAUUGUCCUGAUUUAUAUGCUAUGAACCAUUUUAAGUUUUUAUCUUAUUUAUGAUCCUAUUUUGCUUUCCUCUUGAAAGCCCUAAGUGUUGUAUAUCCUGCAUCUUUGUAUUGGUGAUUGUUAGUUUUAUAAUUUGUAUCUAACUGAAUUUUGAGUUGAUAGUACUUGCAUAGUGAAGAAUUCUUGUCUAGAUAUACUUGCAUUGAUUUUGAAGUAAUAAAUAAACCUUCCAACUUGAUGUAUUAGUAACAAAGUGCCUGAGUAAAGAAAUUGAUUUUUUCUUUGCAAAGACCUAAGCAUUCAUUAUCCAGUGCUCGUUAAAGAAACUAAAUCAAAAGGGCGCGGACCAGUUGUUGUAGGUUCUGUGCCUUUCAACAAAGUGCCUGAGUAAAGAAAUUGAUUUUUUCUUUGCAAAGACCUAAGCAUUCAUUAUCCAGUGCUCGUUAAAGAAACUAAAUCAAAAGGGCGCGGACCAGUUGUUGUAGGUUCUGUGCCUUUCAAGAAGGCUCCAUUACAUGUCAAAGUAGAAGUUGACCUAAACGAAAGUCAAUUUUCUUGUAGAACUGAUUUGGUCAUCAUAAUAUGCUAACAUUAGAUGUCUGAUGUACAAGAAAAAUAUCAAGAGGUAGUAUUUGGUUCUAAUGAUCAUAGCCCGGCAACUUGCGAAUUGCAUUUCUAAAAUUUGUGUUGCUGGCCUGGAUGGAACUUGAAUUAUUCUAUCUCUUGUGCACAUCAUGUCUCCAAAUCACUUACUCCCUCCGUUCCAAAUUGUAGGUCGUUUUGGCAUUUCUAGAUUCAUAGCUUUUAAUAUGUUUUAAUAUGUAUCUAGAUGCAUAGCAAAAACUAUGAACCUAGAAAUGCCAAUUUGGAAUGGAGGGAGUAUGGAAUAUAUAUUUAGGUAUCAAUUCUCACCUUUUUCAUCUUCAACAGGCUCUUUGCCACCUAUGGUUGAUCCAGGUGAGGAGGGUCCCCUCUUCCCUGACGUCCAAUUUUGGAAACAGUGUGCUGAUCCAGUCCUUGCUCAAGAUCCAUUUUCUUCUUUGAUGUCAACACUUUUCUGUCUACCUGUUCAGUUUGUAUCAUCUGCUGAAUUCUUCAUCCCUUUUGUCCAUCUGUUUUAUGUUGUUUGUGCCAUUCAGGUAUGCUGUUUGGUGUUGCUUUCUCUUGAGAUUUGCAGUUUAUAUGUUAGUUUUAUUUGAUUUAAAGCAUGUUAUUACAUGAAUUUUCCUGUAGGCCCUGAUAACAUGCUACGGAUCGGAAACUUUUGACCGAUCUAGCUUCAGUGACUGCCUUCUUAAUGAUGUUUGCAAGACAAUGUCAGGAUAUGAUAUUGCCAGAGAGUAUUUUGUAUCCAAAUAUAUCGACCCGUAUUGUCAUCCAAAAGAUAUGGUCCGUAGAUUGACGUAUCCUUAUCUUCGGAGAUGUGCAUUGCUUUGGGAGCUGCUAAGAUCGUCUGCCACAUCACCCUUAUAUGACAAUUCCAAUAUUUGGGAAGGAUCACAUCUUUACCUGAGCAAUAGCACACAAGAUGGAAGUUCUUCACUGGCAAUGGAGCUAAAUGGAAUAAGCGAAUUGGAAAAGCUGUUCCAGAUUCAGUCACUGGACCUGAUUCUCCGAGAUGAAUCUGUACAUGUGCUGGCCUUAAAAUGGUCUCAACAUUUCUGUGAAGAUUACAGUUCUCGCAAAUAUAGAGGCUCUCUCUUUUCUACCCCUGCAGUUCCAUUUAGGCUGAUGCAACUACCACCUGUCUACCAAGUUCUCCUUGAAAGGUUUGGUCUGAAUCUUCUAAGCUGAGAUGAUGUUUUGCAUGGGCUGUGCCUUGAUGGGCUAAGCUUUUCCCACAUUUCUGGAGCUAAUGGCUUGUCAUUUUUUGGAUCAGAUAUAUCAAGAUGCAAUGCCCCGAUUGUGGCUCAGUGCCUGAUGAACCGGCAUUGUGUUUGCUUUGUGGCAAACUAUGUUCACCUAGCUGGAAACCAUGCUGCAGGUGAUAGCACUUUGCUUUUUACAGUUCCAAGUAGCCUUGUUUUGGUUCUACUGUAAUUAAUGCUAAAUCCUAAUUAUUGUUUAUUCUUUGUAGGACUGGUAAAUGCCUGAAUCAUGCAUCACAAUGUGGUGCCGGUGUUGGCAUAUUUCUUUUAGUGAGGGUAUGUAUUAGCUUAUUAUUUGCCAUCACACCAAAUUAUUAUGGCCAGUGUACUUUCCUUUGUUCUUUCUGAGACCAAGCUCCUUUCCUAUUUUGACGGAUGUGCUGUGCAGAAAACAACGAUCCUGUUGCAGCGAUCUGCUCGUCUUGCCUUUUGGCCAUCUCCUUACCUUGACACGUUUGGGGAGGAGGUAUUGAAUAAUUUCGUAUGCUUUGUUGUUGUUUAUGGACUUAAGCCUGUUUGUUACGAUCCCCACUAAAUUUUCCUCCCAGGUCUCAAAUGGGAGCUUUUUUCUUUUUGAUGUUAUCCUCGUGCUUCUCCAUGAAGCAUCUCUUACAAUAGCAAUACAAAGUGAUUUAUGAUGGCUUGAUGCCGUGCCUAAUCAUCUGAGACCUUUUAUAGAUCAAUGCUGUGCCUAAUCAUCUGAAUCUUUUGAUACAUCAGACAUACUGCUGUAGGUCUGAUGGCGUAUUGAUCCUCUUCACUUUCUGUUUUCUGUGGAUAAACAUUGAUUAUUUAAGGUUAAUAUGGGUGGUAGUUUAUGCCUAGCUUGCAAGGCAAAUGCACUGUUAAGUGGGGGUAGUUGAGAUUUGUCCUUGCAUAGUUGCAUUCAUACUGCAAGGUCAUUAGACAAAUGCCUACAUACAAAAUUUUGCAAUGAGGUAAAGGGGGAUUUUUUUUUACAUGUCUAGAUGUGAGCUUAUUCCCCUUCCCUUCUGGCUUUCUGUUUGAAUGCAGGAUCAUGAAAUGCAGAGAGGAAAGCCUUUGUAUCUAAGUCAAGAAAGAUACACAGCCUUGACCUAUCUGGUAAUAGGCUGACACCCUUUCCUCUUUGCUUUCUCGACUUAAUGCUAUUAGGAAUUUGCACCAUUUUUUAUAAAUGGGAUGCAUGCCCUUUUUUAUGUGAUAGGUGGCAUCUCAUAGCCUUGAUCGAACUUCUGAAGUCCUUCGGCAAACGACUAUCAGCUUUUAUGGAUCUGGAUCUGAUUAAAUGCAAUUUCCAUGGAACAAUGUUGAAAGGUUUGGAUUAUGUUUAUGUUUGGCAUGUUGGAUUUAGAGAAUGGAAGGAUUGGCAGCUUUGUUUUCCCAAAUGCUUGUUCAUUGGUCAUAAUGGUUGGUUUAGGUGACAAACGGAAUUUGAUUAGUUAGCAAGGGCAUAUUUGUACUAUGGUAUGUGGUCACUAUUUACUUCUCUUAGUAGGCGUGCACAAAUCUAAACAUUGAAUAUAGAAAGAAGACGGAGUAAUCUUAACAUGUGUAUUAGACCCACCAGAGCAAUUAUGCUGCUGGCAGGUCACCCAGCCACAAACAAGUUUUGUCAUGUACAGUUCUAUGAAAGAGCUUGCCAAUGGAAUGAGAGGGGGCCAAUAAGAGAGUGGAUUAGAUAACAAUUAAGUGGUGACAUAGGGCAUUGCUUACCCUUGGCCUUAGAGAAGCUUUGCAAUUGUCUUGAACUGCAACAGCAGUACUCCCUCCGUCCCAAAAAAAAAAGUCAUUAUAGGAAGUUUAAGACAUACUAAUAAGGAGGUAAAAUGACCUUGUUUACCCCUAUUUAUUAGCCAUAUUUAGCACAAAUGGACAGCAUUAUGCAUAUGCACAUACCAAAUAGGGUAGAAUGACUUGUUUUUUGGGACAAAUCUUGAACCCUAGAAUGACUUUUUUUUUGGGAAGAGGGAGUACAUGAUAAUCUCUGUCGAAUCAUCACCGCUCACACCUUUAGCAGGACAAAUUUUACAUUGCAGUGUGAUACUAGGGUUAUUGUUAAUUUAUCAUUUGCUGCCUUGUCAGGGUCUUGUGGAUGUGCAUAUUUUUGGGAACUCUAGUGCAACUUGGUGUUCAUAUUUUCCAGCGGUAACAAGUGUUACCUCUCCCAAGGUUUACAUCUACAAGCUUCUUUUGCUAAUGGGCGUUUAAGUGCAAAAUGCUGUGACAUGCCUGUGCCAUUGUUUUCGCUUCUGAUUACUUGUCGAUCUUCCGGAUGGCGUGGAUCCUGCAGGCUUUGCCACCGGUCGUGCUUGGGGGCCCUGCCGUCCUCUCUUGCUGAAUGUACGGUUGUUUUCAUGCUUCUUUUCAUUGUUCAUGGCCGGUGCUUCCCAAAGUGGAUGAUAGGUAGGCCUAGUGGCGACCUGGAAUAUUUGACGAUCGACUGCUUGAUCUGUCUGUACAGUGUAUUACAUUGGAUCGGUGUAGUUAGUAUGAAAAAGGCAGGCAAGUGCCAUUUGGUCAUCAUGUGCUUUUGUGUACCAUGUUGCUUUGUCAUUUGUCUGCUGAAUCUUUCGAGUUCUUGUUUCUUUUUUCAUGCAAGUUCUUGUGUUGAAGCGAGGUCAGAGUGCUCUGCAUAGGCACUAACACAUUGUUUCGUUGCAGCACUAACACUCAGCUUGGGAGCGUCCCUUGUUGCAACCUACGUACGGUGUGCUUUGCUUCGAAGGUUGGGUAGAAAAGCAAUGAGAAGUCGCAUGAAAGAAAUGAGUAUUCAAGUCCGCAUAUCGCAUAAAAGGUGUAACGGUAAUUAAAAAAAACUCGACGAGUCCAAGGCUUCAAGCCUUGGAAACACAGUGGCUGUACCAGGUGUAUACAAAAGUCAUCUGCGGGAGUACUCAUCAACCAACUUCGUUCAGCUUGAAGAUAGAGGCUGAACAUCCGGCGAUGGACCAUGUUGCUUGGUUCUUCUUCGAGGAGGCACCUCCUGAAUUGCUCUGCUUUGGCGCAGCCAACCAUCUCCAGACGUUUCAGCUUGCCUAGAUUCUCUGCCUGGUCCAGGGCUGGACAGUCCUGCACGAACAAAUCCUCAAGCUUGGAAAGAUUGGCGAUCCUCGUAAGGCUUCGGUUGUGCUUCACCUUGAGCCACACAACAGCGGGAAGGUCCACAAAUCUCAUGUAGGCUAUGCGCACCUUCGACAAGUUUGCAGCCCUGUGCAGAUCUUGAGGGAGUGCCCUCAAUUUUGGACAAUGCAGUAGCGACAGACGCUUGAGGAGAGGCAUCAGUAUCACCUGGUUGGGGGAGUCUCCGAUUGUGUUCUGAUUGCACAUGCCUACUGUGCUCAGUGAGCAGGCCUCCACAAUUUUAUGAACAUUACAUUCAGCUCAAAUUCCUCAAACAAGACAUUGAAAAGCGAGGGCAGGAGAUUCAGCACGCUCAAACAAUACAAAAACGCCUUAAGCGAUCAUAUAAGCACACUGCAAAAAAGACAGAAGGCGCCACUGAAGAGGUGAUUUACAGCUAUCAAUCAACAAAAUUUCCGAUUCGACUACAAUUUUUUUGUAUCGAACACGCAAGAGAUUUGACUUGGUCAAAGUUGUGUUUUGAAGACUGGGUACUGCUUAUUUGGAACUGGAGUGAGCAUUAUACGUGUUUUCUUUAUGAAUAAUGUACUAUAAGAACAAAACAAAAGUUGUUCCAAACUAACCAAAUAAAAGUUCGCAGUAGAAAACUAUUGCUACAGUUAUAUCAGUUCCUUUUUGCGCAGCAUCCAUCUUUGGCGACAAUGGAUGGUAAUGUGUUCAAAUUUUAUUCCGUUCGGGUGCAAGUCUACUGUUGAAUGGCUUGGCUUCAAAACUUUGCCGCCCAGUUGUGCCUUGCGGACUUGCAGUUGCGGUGGUUGCCCACUACUUCAGCUUCCAACGGUCCAAGGUGUUUUGCACCAGCCACCAGGUACUGUGCCAUUCUGAAGAGCAUAUCAAAUUGUCGAGGAUUUUGGCCCAUAGCCAGACAUCAUACCACAGUCCAAGGUGCACACUGCAAUCCACCGUCGGCGGACCUGCUGAUCACAUGAACAAUGUCUGGUGUUGAUGGACGGCUAGUAACCAUGAUACCGGAACAAUUUACAAGGACGAAUGACGUUUCAGAGUAUCAGUAAAGAACAUUGCCAAUCACAAAAGGAGAAUAUAAGCUGAGAAAUUGCUGAAACAGUAGCAAAGCCUAAAUGUUGAUAACAACAUAUCAGUAUAUCACAUUAGAAAUGAAGCCAUACACUUUACUAAGCUAGUUUGCUCACCUUUCUAAUGAUAGAGAGAUUCAUCUGGAAAUAUAUCUCGGCCAUCCGCACCAACUGUUGCAACAUGUACUCAGAUGUCUUGUUCUUCUUUCAGGAGACAAUUCCUGAACUGCUGUCCGUUCAGGCAGUCAACCAUGUACAAGCACUUCAGUGAAGAUUGGAGAUUCUCCUCAAAGAUUUAUUGUUCUUGACCGUGAGCCACAAAACUUCAGGAAGGUUUACAACUUGUUGAAGCUUGUGAGCACCUUCAAUGUGAAUCCUUUUUAAAUUAACAGCUCUAUGCAAAUCUUCAGGGAGAGCUCUUAGUUUAGGACAAUCAAGGAGCAACAGGCGCUUAAGGCAAGGCAUCAGAACGAGCUGUUGAGAUUUGGUCUCCAUGUUAUUACACAAGCUUCUUGUUUUGAGGGACCAACUUUCCAAAUUGCGCAUGCGAAUGAUGUGAAGCAAUUCGAGCUUUGGGAAAACAGCUGCUGCUUUAGUCACACCUCUCCCCAGGAAUUCUGCACCCAUAGUCACUACUGCACCUGCACCUCUAAUCUGAAGAACUAGUAGUUCUGGCAUCUGGCCUACUGGUGGUAGUUGUAAACAUGAUAUGCACUCAUUGAGCUGCAUGUGAGACAAAUUUGGAAGCUUAUACUCUGGCUCUGAACAUAGCCAUUCUGGGAACCUUACACCAGGGAACCCAACAAAGAAAAUGUAUAAUAGGCUUGGUGAUGGAAUAAGCAUCUCAUAGACUUGCUGAAUUUUCUCAAUCUCACUGGCUUGGUAAUGAGUUUUAUCAUGAAUAUUCAUGCCCACUGUGCAGCACAACCCCAGUUCUCUGGCUUGGUAUUGCCUUUUCAAGCUUCUCAACCCAGAGGCGUUGGAUAUUGGUGAGACAUUUUAAUUCAUCCAAUCUGAACCCAGUCUCACUUUCAAAGACACCUCUGAGGUAGUAGAGCUGCUGGAACUGGCAAUUCCUUUUGGAACAUGAUCAAUAGCAGUCUUUUCAAGUUUAAGAAAACUUAUCUGUGAUAGUCUCAUUAAACAAACUGUCAGACUAUCCAACUUAUGGCAACCACGCAAUGAGAGAGAUUCAAGGCUGGUAAGCCUUCCAAUCGAAUCUGGAAGUUUGCUGAUCUCUGUAUAACUUAGAUCUAGCAACCUCAACAACACCAGGUUUCCCACUGACUCUGGAAUGAUUAGGAUGCCCGAUCCACUUAGAACUAAGACACGGAUGUGCUCAAGCUUUCGGAAAAUAUUCGUGUUAACUGACUUGAAGUUCUUGUUAUUGAAAAUUAGGAGGCUCCUCAUGCAUUUAUACUCUCCUAUAGCAGGUAUUUCUUCUACAGAACUGCUGAUACUUAAGCACCGCAGAUUAGGCGGAACUUCAUUAUUUUCUGCAUUCAUGAAUAAGGAAUGAUACCUUGUCAAAUACUGCCCAAGUGACCUCAAUAGAUCGUGCAUUGUUGAAAUACCUUUGUCCACGAAUUCUGGUUUUGGUUGCAGAAGAUUCCUCGUAAUUAGCUCAUAAUAGUAUUCUUCAGCAAUUGCAUGAAUCGAGCACUUGUGAUCUUUCCUCACAAAACCUUCAGCAACCCACCAGUAAGCAACAGCAUUACGCUCGAUUGCAAAAUUUGGAGGCAACAAAGCACACUCUUAAGUUGAGGGGUUAAGUUGCUAUAACUCAUAUAUAGGGGGCCUCCUAGUUCUUUGGGAAGUCCGUGGAUAGACCAGUUGCUAUCUCGGAUGCUCUCCCAUUCUGCCCUUGUUCUUUUAGUAGAUAGAACACCCGCAACAACCGCGAUGGCUAGAGGAAGACCAUCACAUUUUCUUACUAUUUGACACCCAACAUCACUAAAUUCAUUUAGUUGCACAUAUAUGGUCGGAAAGACUUCUUCAUUAGAAGUUCCAGGCCAUCAUAAUCAUUCAUUUUGUUUACUUGGUGAGUAUAUGUUGCGUGCAUUCCUGCCAAAACAUCCAGGUUUCUUGUGGUGACAAGGAUAUUUGCAUUCGAGCAUCUCUUGAAAGGCGAUCGGAGAAGAUCAAUCCAGACAUCAGAUUUCCACGCAUCAUCUAAAACAAGAAAUACACUCUUUCCUCUGAUAGUGUCCAUCAGAUGGAAAAGAAGUUCGGUCUUGGUCUCAAGCUGACCACAUGUUGCUCCAGCCAUUCGUAUUGCCUGCCUUGGCAAACCAAUCUCUGUGUAGCUCUGAGAAACGCACAACCAUAUAUGAACUUGGAAUUUCUCCCUUAUCCUCUGCUCAUUAUAUAUCUUCUGAGCUAAUGUUGUCUUACCAAUGCCUCCCAUCCCUUGAAUACCAAAAACAGUUGAUUUGUCUUCAUGAAAAUUACUAAGAAUCAUUUUGACCAUGUCAUCAGUCGCCUGUCUGAUAUCUCUUCCAAAAACCUCUAGUUCAUCUAUGGGUGAUGUCUGACUUCUAUCCACAACAGGUACUUGAUACUGUUGACUACUGGUCCUCUCCAAGCUGAUGAACAUGUUUCUGUUCUUUUGAAUUUCAUCUAGCUUUCUGUUUAUAUCCUUGAUUCUUUUAGCAACCCUGUGAUCAAAUGAAAGUUUCGCGAUAAAGGACAAAAGGGACUGGUUGCAACAUUCCAUUCUAGGUGGCAGCAAUAGCUUCUGUGAGUGAACCAUGAAGUGAUCUAUGACAUCAUCCACAUCAAACAUAACGUCAGUCAUGUUCUUCCACCAUGACUCUGCCCCCCUAUCUUGCUUCAGCAUCCUCACCAACAGCGCCAAAAUGUUCCAGAUUUUUCUUGAGCCUCUUGAUAUCCCUUUUCACACUCAAUGUCAUUGCAACUUCAUCCUGGAUAAUCUGACUAAGCUUUGCCAGGAAUUUUGAAGUGAGAGCAUCCAAAAAUGCACCCAUACUGCUCAAACAGCUAGACCUAUGGAUUGUCACCGGAUCUCACUUGCCCUCAAGCUUCAGAUUGUAUAUGAUAUAUCUCAGUUAACCGCAGCUCAUUCGAGAUUGGAAAGGGUAGGAGAUGUUGAAAUAGAGGGAGUGCAGUUUGAUGGAAUUGGAGAGGCCAAUGCACAAGUGAGCUGUUAUAAGUUCCCAUCACUGUAAAGACCCGACCUAAUCAUAGACACCUAAUGUCUUGGGCAUUCCCAUUUGCUUCCAAUCUUUUCAACACAGGUAAGAACAUAUAUCUCAAAAAACAAAGGACUAUUGUUGCAGACUUGCUGACGGGAGGGAAAGAGUCGCCACCAGAAAAUAUUUGUUUGACGGCAGACAUUCGUGCAUUUCCUCGAACAGUCCAUAUGCGUUCAAUCGUUGGUCUCCAACUCUCCGUAGACUAAGUUUCUUGUUUAUAAAAAAAAAUCGAGAGAGAAGAAUUUGCGAUAGCUGCUCCAUCGUUUUCGCCAAUCUACGUACAGAGAGAGAGCGAUCAAAACAGGCCGUCUACUAACAUCACCAGAAACAAAUCAGCCCGAAACUUCCAUUAGAUUUGUAGGCUUUUUCGCAGAUACACAGAGAGACCUGCAUGAGAAGCGCGCGCUGCGGUUGUCCACUGCAUUGAUUGGUUGGCGACGCCGACUACCGGCCGCGGCGAUAGCCACAGCUCGUCGGCCGGCAGCGCCGCCCACCGCCGGAGAAGAAGCCUGCCAUCCAGGGGCUCCACAUGUUUAUCGGGCCCAGGCGCACAGCCCAGCCCAGCGACACGUUAGUACAACACAGGCCGGGCCCUCUCUCUCUCUCUGUUCGUGUCACGCCGCCCGGACCGCCCCCGGGUCCAGCAAACUAUGAUGAACAGCCCAACCUUGGUGGCCCUCAAAUCAAACCAAAACCAGGAGUCCAGGACCGUACAAACACAUGCUGAUCGAAUAGGCGAUAGGCCGAAGGUCUGCGAUUGAGAUGAUGAAUCGAUUUUUCUUUUUCACCAAUGUGGCAAUUUAUUAACUAUCCGCUUCCUCUCCCUUGCAAGAAGACAUUUUCGCCGUUGCAAGAAAAGCUCCCAGUGAAAGGGGGGCAAAAAAAAAUCAAGUCACACGACAUCGAGAGUACACAAAGAUGGUAGAUGCAUAUAGAUGGAUGGUUACACGAGACACUGAAGACAGUAAGCAGGCAGCACAUACAACACGGAGCAGAGCAUUGCCUGCUUGCUACACACACUGACACUGCUACAGAUGAGCCCCACAAGCGACCUGCCUGCGAGGAAGGACACGGCGACGACGGCGACUCGCAUCUCAGUACCAUUAUUCUUCUCCAUCAGUACGAUUACUAGCAGCAUGCGCAACACUGUUAUUAAGCAUGCCACACACACACUUAGGACACAACACUGCUAUACUAGGGUGUCCUUCCGAUCGCCUCCACCGGCCAGGGGCCGCGCCAUGAGCUCAUCACUUGCCGCAGGUGCAGGGGUUGCAGGUGCAGUUGGGGCCGCACUGGCACCCGCCGUUCUCGGCUCCGGCGGACGCCGCGCCGCCCUCGAACCCGCCGUCGGCGUGCCUGCGCAGAGAAAGCCAAGAUAUGACAGAGUCAGUGGCCUGGCUCAUACAUGCAUACAGAGCAUUUUUGGCAUGUUCGCUACCAGCAGCUACAUACGAGUGCAUGACGUCCCAGACUUCUCAGUUCAGGACAAAUUAAAGUUCUUUUUUUUUUCUUUCUGUUUUUGGGCCAGCAGUUUGUUUGUUUCAUGAUUGCCAAAAACUGCUUUCGUCGUAGCUUACUGCUCCCUGCUCGUUGCUGAUGGCGACUGAAAUUUGUACUACCACUAUGCGGACAAAUACCACAGCUACGCAUGCUAACAGAAGUUGGUACUGCUCCCUACACGAUCGAUCGAUCUACCCCCACAACACAAGGCAAAAGACAGUAAAAAUAGUACAGCUAGUAAUUCUGCACCACAGAAACUGACUGCUAUUAUUAGCAAAGGUGUGGAUGGUGGAUCAUUCAGAUCAACACAACACCGGAAUGAUCUAUGAGCAUGAUGUAGAUCAGUAGAUGGGAAAAGGGAUGGAUGAACAUACCCCUUGUUGGAAGGCGCAACGCCCGUGAUGACGGUCUGGGUGGUGGUGGUGCCCUGCUCAGCCAUGUCCGGGAACAUCUUGCACCUGCAGAUCAUGCAAGCGGCAGAUCAGCAUCAUCAGAAAUUUCCCUUGUUGAAGGAGCACAACUACAGCAUGCACAUCGUUUCAGAGAAACGAAGUUCAUCAGACAGGAAUUCACAUGCGCAGCAACAUGAGAAAACCUCUCUGUUUUUUUUCUAAAAUAAAAAAGGGGAGCUUGAUCUCCCAGCUCUACAUAUCCUAUACUCAAAGAUCCAUCCACAAAGGUCCAGCAAGAACACAAGAACAACCGAAUACAUGCAUUCAUAUGGGUAUUGACACAUGAUAGACACGCAUCAGACUAUCAGAGAUCUGAGGAGCGUGGCGUCGUGGGGCUUACCCUCCGCAGCCGCUGCCGCACUUGCAGCCGGACCCGCACCCGCAGUUGCCUCCGCAGCACGACAUCCUCGCGAGAUCGAUUCAGAGACGAACACAAGCAGAGAGCGGCGUUCUUGGCAAUGAGUCACUGAACAACAACGAGAUGCAGUAUGCCUUCCCCCUG
RNAcentral lists this long non-coding RNA (12790 nucleotides) under Setaria viridis. RNAcentral's name for it is "long non-coding RNA (SVIR_LNC005239)". The record is from RNAcentral. Lineage: Eukaryota; Viridiplantae; Streptophyta; Magnoliopsida; Poales; Poaceae.